RNAcentral lists this ribosomal RNA (233 nucleotides) under uncultured bacterium. Its description in RNAcentral is "partial 16S ribosomal RNA". It matches the Rfam family "Bacterial small subunit ribosomal RNA", at positions 524 to 757 of the family's 1533-position model. The record is from RNAcentral.
UACGAAGGGGGCUAGCGUUGUUCGGAAUUACUGGGCGUAAAGCGCGCGUAGGCGGUGAUCUUUGUCAGAGGUGAAAGCCUGGGGCUCAACUCCAGAAUUGCCUUUGAAACGGGAUCGCUUGAGUCCGAGAGAGGAUGGCGGAAUUCCUAGUGUAGAGGUGAAAUUCGUAGAUAUUAGGAAGAACACCGUGGCGAAGGCGGCCAUCUGGCUCGGUACUGACGCUCAGGCGCGAA